RNAcentral lists this small RNA (30 nucleotides) under Bombyx mori (domestic silkworm). RNAcentral describes it as "ovarian small RNA-11538". Lineage: Eukaryota; Metazoa; Arthropoda; Insecta; Lepidoptera; Bombycidae. The record is from RNAcentral.
ACGCUGUGAUACUCCGGCGCCCCCGCGAUC